GUGUCAGCCGCCGCGGUAAUACGGAGGGUCCAAGCGUUAUCCGGAAUUAUUGGGUUUAAAGGGUCCGCAGGCGGACUAGUAAGUCAGUGGUGAAAUCUCUCAGCUUAACUGGGAAACUGCCAUUGAUACUGUUAGUCUUGAAUUCGGUCGAAGUGGGCGGAAUGUGUCAUGUAGCGGUGAAAUGCAUAGAUAUGACACAGAACACCGAUAGCGAAGGCAGCUCACUAGGCCUGAAUUGACGCUCAGGGACGAAAGCGUGGGGAGCGAACAGGAUUAGAUACCCUGGUAGUCCACGCCGUAAACGAUGAUUACUCGAUAUCAGCGAUAUACAGUUGGUGUCUAAGCGAAAGUGAUAAGUAAUCCACCUGGGGAGUACGAUCGCAAGGUUGAA
Molecule: ribosomal RNA, 391 nt
Filed under: uncultured bacterium
Lineage: Bacteria
Description: bacterial SSU rRNA
Rfam family: Bacterial small subunit ribosomal RNA
Source: RNAcentral